AUCCUUUUGUAGUUCAUAAGCGUGAUUGGGUGUUCACACCGUGGUGUGACAUGUGCCACCUUUAAACCUUGUUAUGACGUUGGCACAUUACCUGUCUGACG
Small nucleolar RNA from Leopardus geoffroyi (Geoffroy's cat), 101 nucleotides. RefSeq annotates it as small nucleolar RNA U13. Lineage: Eukaryota; Metazoa; Chordata; Mammalia; Carnivora; Felidae. The record is from RefSeq and is a predicted model, not a curated record. The transcript has a single exon.